UGACAAAAGAGAUGUGGUAUUUCAGGAGAGAGACCUUCCUGGGAGUUUUCCUGGCCACAGCCAAGUUGUUGGCCAUUCAAAACUAAGCAAGGUGGAGGAACCCACCGAGAUCCCAGGUCCCAAACCCUCUCUGAAGCAGUUUUGGAACAAAUAUUCUAAGUCAUCAAUGCAAAGCGAAGCAAUAGCCACCCAAGACACAGUCGGAGCAAUGCAGCAGAACUCUGAUGGGGUGCGGAGCAGCAAAGAGAUCAUGGUGGGGACACCCAGG
This 268-nucleotide long non-coding RNA is filed under the name Chrysolophus pictus (golden pheasant). Its description in RNAcentral is "lncRNA (ENSCPIG00010001862.1)". The record is from RNAcentral. Lineage: Eukaryota; Metazoa; Chordata; Aves; Galliformes; Phasianidae.